RNAcentral lists this ribosomal RNA (253 nucleotides) under uncultured bacterium. RNAcentral's name for it is "partial 16S ribosomal RNA". It matches the Rfam family "Bacterial small subunit ribosomal RNA", at positions 524 to 776 of the family's 1533-position model. The record is from RNAcentral.
UACAGAGGGGGCAAGCGUUGUUCGGAAUUACUGGGCGUAAAGGGCGCGUAGGUGGCCUUCUAAGUUGAACGUGAAAUCCCUGGGCUCAACCCAGGAACUGCGUCCAAGACUGGGAGGCUUGAAUCCGGGAGAGGGAUGCGGAAUUCCAGGUGUAGCGGUGAAAUGCGUAGAUAUCUGGAGGAACACCGGUGGCGAAGGCGGCAUCCUGGACCGGUAUUGACACUGAGGCGCGAAAGCUGGGGGAGCAAACGGG